UUUAUAGUGGCAGAAAUAUAUGCGUAGGUUUUAAGCACCUAAAAUUAAGUAUACCUUCUAUUUUCUAUAGGU
Molecule: transfer RNA, 72 nt
Filed under: Monacha cartusiana
Lineage: Eukaryota; Metazoa; Mollusca; Gastropoda; Stylommatophora; Hygromiidae
Description: tRNA-Leu
Source: RNAcentral